GAUGAACGCUGACAGAAUGCUUAACACAUGCAAGUCUACUUGAACUUCGGUUUGGGUGGCGGACGGGUGAGCAACGCGUAAAGAACUUGCCUCACAGAUAGGGACGACAUUUGGAAACGAAUGCUAAUACCUGAUAUUAUGAUUUUAGGGCAUCCUAGAAUUAUGAAAGCUAUAUGCACUGUGAGAGAGCUUUGCGUCCCAUUAGCUAGUUGGAGAGGUAACGGCUCACCAAGGCGAUGAUGGGUAGCCGGCCUGAGAGGGUGAUCGGCCACAAGGGGACUGAGACACGGCCCUUACUCCUACGGGAGGCAGCAGUGGGGAAUAUUGGACAAUGGACCAAGAGUCUGAUCCAGCAAUUCUGUGUGCACGAUGAAGUUUUUCGGAAUGUAAAGUGCUUUCAGUUGGGAAGAAAAAAAUGACGGUACCAACAGAAGAAGUGACGGCUAAAUACGUG
This 454-nucleotide ribosomal RNA is filed under the name uncultured bacterium. Its description in RNAcentral is "partial 16S ribosomal RNA". It matches the Rfam family "Bacterial small subunit ribosomal RNA", at positions 28 to 507 of the family's 1533-position model. The record is from RNAcentral.